Molecule: ribosomal RNA, 715 nt
Filed under: uncultured bacterium
Lineage: Bacteria
Description: bacterial SSU rRNA
Rfam family: Bacterial small subunit ribosomal RNA
Source: RNAcentral
GAGUCUGCCUUGAAGAUCGGAGUGCUUGCACUCUGUGAAACAAGAUACAGGCUAGCGGCGGACGGGUGAGUAACACGUGGGUAACCUGCCCAAGAGAUCGGGAUAACACCUGGAAACAGAUGCUAAUACCGGAUAACAACAGAUGAUGCCUAUCAGCUGUUUAAAAGAUGGUUCUGCUAUCACUCUUGGAUGGACCUGCGGUGCAUUAGCUAGUUGGUAGGGUAACGGCCUACCAAGGCGAUGAUGCAUAGCCGAGUUGAGAGACUGAUCGGCCACAUUGGGACUGAGACACGGCCCAAACUCCUACGGGAGGCAGCAGUAGGGAAUCUUCCACAAUGGACGCAAGUCUGAUGGAGCAACGCCGCGUGAGUGAAGAAGGGUUUCGGCUCGUAAAGCUCUGUUGUUGGUGAAGAAGGACGGGGGUAGUAACUGACCUUUGUUUGACGGUAAUCAAUUAGAAAGUCACGGCUAACUACGUGCCAGCAGCCGCGGUAAUACGUAGGUGGCAAGCGUUGUCCGGAUUUAUUGGGCGUAAAGCGAGUGCAGGCGGUUCGAUAAGUCUGAUGUGAAAGCCUUCGGCUCAACCGGAGAAUUGCAUCAGAAACUGUCGAGCUUGAGUACAGAAGAGGAGAGUGGAACUCCAUGUGUAGCGGCGAAAUGCGUAGAUAUAUGGAAGAACACCGGUGGCGAAGGCGGCUCUCUGGUCUGUUACUGA